GCUUUGGAUUUCACAUAUUUUUGCCACGAGCAUCACUGAAGAGACAUGUAUUGUCGAAAUGCGCAUCUGGUGCAGAAAAAAAUGGUACCGUUAUUGUUAUUGUGACAGUUGAUGAAAAUGAACAUGAUGGAGAUAAGGGUUGAUUUGGUAUAAAGCUUGUUGCACUGGUACACACGAAUCCAGUCCCGAGGUUAGGGGAUUGUUGGCGUGCCCUUAAAAAAGUUAAACCCCGCCACUAUCUGUAUAUAUGUGUCAGUUUUAAGUUACGAGACGGUAAUGCAGUGUUUGUCGUUUGUUUCUAUAUACUAUAUUAGUUUCUUUAUUAUUUAUUUUGUACAUUAAUCAGGCCG
RNAcentral lists this long non-coding RNA (350 nucleotides) under Mytilus galloprovincialis (Mediterranean mussel). Lineage: Eukaryota; Metazoa; Mollusca; Bivalvia; Mytilida; Mytilidae. The record is from RNAcentral.